This 550-nucleotide long non-coding RNA is filed under the name Physcomitrium patens. Its description in RNAcentral is "long non-coding RNA (PPAT_LNC010560)". Lineage: Eukaryota; Viridiplantae; Streptophyta; Bryopsida; Funariales; Funariaceae. The record is from RNAcentral.
AGACCCUUUAAAAAAAACAUAAAGAAAUAACAUAGGAAUUCAAAAAUAUACUAAAAUAUAAAUCUUAAUAAAAUAUUAAAAUAGAUACUUUCAUUAAAUCCUAGUCAAAUCUUAAUCAAAUUCUAAUCAAAUCCUAGUCAACUCUAAAUAAAUCCUAAUCAAAUCCUAAAUACAUCUUAAUCAAAUCCUAACCAAAUCUUAGUUAAAUCUUGAAUAAAUUGUAACCAAAAUCUAAUAAAAUCCUAAACAAAAUCUAUUCAAUUCCUAACCAAAUCCUAACCAAAUUCUAAUCAAAUCUUAACCAAAUCCAAAUCAAAUUCUAAAUAAAAUCUAAUCAAAUCCUAACCAAAACCUAACCAAGUCCUAAUCAAAUCUUAACCAAAUCAUAACCAAAUCCUAACCAAAUCCUAAUCAACUUUAAAUAAAUCUUAGUCAAAUCCUAAAUAAAUUCUAACCAAAUAUUAUUCAAACUCUAAAAAAUCCUAAAUAAAUCCUAAAUAAAUCCUAAAUAAACCUAAACAAAUUUUAACCAAAUCCUACUUAAAUCCUA